Molecule: ribosomal RNA, 429 nt
Filed under: uncultured bacterium
Lineage: Bacteria
Description: bacterial SSU rRNA
Rfam family: Bacterial small subunit ribosomal RNA
Source: RNAcentral
ACUCCUACGGGAGGCAGCAGUGGGGAAUAUUGCACAAUGGGCGCAAGCCUGAUGCAGCCAUGCCGCGUGUGUGAAGAAGGCCUUGGGUUGUAAAGCACUUUCAGUCGUGAGGAAGGUAGUGUAGUUAAUAGCUGCAUUAUUUGUACGUUAGCGACAGAAGAAGCACCGGCUAACUCCGUGCCAGCAGCCGCGGUAAUACGGAGGGUGCGAGCGUUAAUCGGAAUUACUGGGCGUAAAGCGCAUGCAGGUGGUUGUUAAGUCAGAUGUGAAAGCCCGGGGCUCAACCUCGGAAUAGCAUUUGAAACUGGCAGACUAGAGUACUGUAGAGGGGGUAGGAAUUUCAGGUGUAGCGGUGAAAUGCGUAGAGAUCUGAAGGAAUACCGGUGGCGAAGGCGGCCCCUGGACAGAUACUGACACUCAGAUGCGAAA